This 73-nucleotide transfer RNA is filed under the name Cylindrobasidium torrendii FP15055 ss-10. RNAcentral describes it as "tRNA-Arg (CCG) (tRNA-Arg-CCG-1-1)". It matches the Rfam family "tRNA". From Rfam's summary of the family: Transfer RNA (tRNA) molecules are approximately 80 nucleotides in length. Their secondary structure includes four short double-helical elements and three loops (D, anti-codon, and T loops). The record is from RNAcentral. Lineage: Eukaryota; Fungi; Basidiomycota; Agaricomycetes; Agaricales; Physalacriaceae.
GGCCGCGUGGCGAAAUGGUUACCGCGUUGCUUUCCGAAGGCAGAGAUUGUGGGUUCGAUCCCCGCCGUGGUCU